Molecule: long non-coding RNA, 273 nt
Organism: Triplophysa rosa
Lineage: Eukaryota; Metazoa; Chordata; Actinopteri; Cypriniformes; Nemacheilidae
Exons: 3
Source: RefSeq, a predicted model, not a curated record
CAAUGACAGACUUGGACAAACAUAACUUCAAGACUAUUGGUGAGAUAUUUGCCGUUAGCAUCGCACAGGGUGGUCCCCCACCAAACUUUUUUUGCAGUGGUGUUACAAGUACAUUUCCACUGGAGAAAUGGAUCAGGAAGCAAUAACUGAAAGGGAUGUAACAGACCCUGAACUGAUUGAGCUAAUUAAAGAGAUUCAGGCAGCUGACAACACAACCCUGAUGGAAUGUACAGACAGGAUUUUGUCAUGUGGAUACGAAGGGGCUGUGUCUAU